UUUCCUACGGGAGGCAGCAGUAGGGAAUAUUGGGCAAUGGGGGGAACCCUGACCCAGCAACGCCGCGUGAGGGAAGAAGGUUUUCGGAUUGUAAACCUCUGUCCUAUGUGACGAAGGAAGUGACGGUAGCAUAGGAGGAAGCCCCGGCUAACUACGUGCCAGCAGCCGCGGUAAUACGUAGGGGGCGAGCGUUGUCCGGAAUUACUGGGCGUAAAGGGUGCGUAGGCGGCCGAUUAAGUUGGAUGUGAAAUACCCGUGCUCAACAUGGGGGGUGCAUUCAAAACUGGUUGGCUAGAGUACAGGAGAGGGAAGCGGAAUUCCUAGUGUAGCGGUGAAAUGCGUAGAUAUUAGGAGGAACACCAGUGGCGAAGGCGGCUUUCUGGACUGACACUGACGCUGAGGCACGAAAGCGUGGGGAGCAAACAGGAUUAGAUACCCCAGUAGUCCAC
This 449-nucleotide ribosomal RNA is filed under the name uncultured Christensenellaceae bacterium. RNAcentral describes it as "bacterial SSU rRNA". It matches the Rfam family "Bacterial small subunit ribosomal RNA", at positions 335 to 798 of the family's 1533-position model. The record is from RNAcentral. Lineage: Bacteria; Bacillati; Bacillota; Clostridia; Christensenellales; Christensenellaceae.